UGAGGGAAAGUUGCAAAGAACUUUGAAGAGAGAGUUCAAGAGUACGUGAAACUGCUCAGAGGUAAACGGGUGGGCCCUCGAAACCCCUCGCGGGGGGAUUCAGUCGGGAGGGCGCGGGAUGGCCACAGUCGACGGACCGGACGCCGUAGCAGCGUCGGGCCGCGGCCAGAGUCUCGCGUUCCGCCCGACGCAUUUCCCCCCGCGCUGCGGACGCCGCAGCCCGUCGGGGUCCGGCCAUGAGGGCGCGCAGCGGCAGGUGGCGGGUGGCACCCUCCCAGAGGAGCGGAGCCGUCCGUUGAUAGCCAGCGCGUUCUCUAGCGGGCGCGGAACCCGACGGAGGUAAGAGACUCCCCCGUCCCUGGGGAGCGAGCCGUCCCCUCGAUGAUUCGAGCGGGCACCGCCUCAGGCGUCGCGCGCUGAAACCGGCGACUCACCCCUCCGCGGUGACCGUCGGAGCGUGCGCGCCGUUGGAAGUGGCGGGCGUCCCGCCAGAGGGAAWURAGAUGGCUGGCGGCGAGUAGGUCGGUAACCCACCCGACCCGUCUUGAAACACGGACCAAGGAGUCUAACAUGUGCGCGAGUCGGCGGGUCUUGCUCAGGCCCGCAGGCGGAAUGAAAGUGAAGGCCGGUUACCUAGGCCGAGCCUCGUUGGGAUCCCGUCCCCUCUCCGGAGGGGGCUGGCGCACCAACGGCACGCCCGGUCCGAUCCGUCGGACGGGCGUAGCGAGAGCGUACACGUUGGGACCCGAAAGAUGGUGAACUAUGCGUGGGCAGGGUGAAGUCAGGGGAAACCCUGGUGGAAGCCCGCAGCGGUUCUGACGUGCAAAUCGAUCGUCGGAUCCACG
Molecule: ribosomal RNA, 845 nt
Filed under: Smeringopus cf. atomarius DNA100446389
Lineage: Eukaryota; Metazoa; Arthropoda; Arachnida; Araneae; Pholcidae
Description: eukaryotic LSU rRNA
Rfam family: Eukaryotic large subunit ribosomal RNA
Source: RNAcentral